GACGAACGCUGGCGGCGUGCUUAACACAUGCAAGUCGAACGGAAAGGCCCUGCUUUUGUGGGGUGCUCGAGUGGCGAACGGGUGAGUAACACGUGAGUAACCUGCCCUUGACUUUGGGAUAACUUCAGGAAACUGGGGCCAAUACCGGAUAGGAGCUCCUGCUGCUUGGUGGGGGUUGGAAAGUUUCGGCGGUUGGGGAUGGACUCGCGGCUUAUCAGCUUGUUGGUGGGGUAGUGGCUUACCAAGGCUUUGACGGGUAGCCGGCCUGAGAGGGUGACCGGCCACAUUGGGACUGAGAUACGGCCCAGACUCCUACGGGAGGCAGCAGUGGGGAAUAUUGCACAAUGGGCGGAAGCCUGAUGCAGCAACGCCGCGUGCGGGAUGACGGCCUUCGGGUUGUAAACCGCUUUCGCCUGUGACGAAGCGUGAGUGACGGUAAUGGGUAAAGAAGCACCGGCUAACUACGUGCCAGCAGCCGCGGUGAUACGUAGGGUGCGAGCGUUGUCCAGAUUUAUUGGGCGUAAAGGGCUCGUAGGUGGUUGAUCGCGUCGGAAGUGUAAUCUUGGGGCUUAACCCUGAGCGUGCUUUCGAUACGGGUUGACUUGAGGAAGGUAGGGGAGAAUGGAAUUCCUGGUGGAGCGGUGGAAUGCGCAGAUAUCAGGAGGAACACCAGUGGCGAAGGCGGUUCUCUGGGCCUUUCCUGACGCUGAGGAGCGAAAGCGUGGGGAGCGAACAGGCUUAGAUACCCUGGUAGUCCACGCUGUAAACGGUGGGUACUAGGUGUGGGGUCCAUUCCACGGGUUCCGUGCCGUAGCUAACGCUUUAAGUACCCCGCCUGGGGAGUACGGCCGCAAGGCUAAAACUCAAAGGAAUUGACGGGGCCCCGCACAAGCGGCGGAGCAUGCGGAUUAAUUCGAUGCAACGCGUAGAACCUUACCUGGGUUUGACAUGGAUCGGGAGUGCUCAGAGAUGGGUGUGCCUCUUUUGGGGUCGGUUCACAGGUGGUGCAUGCCUGUCGUCAGCUCGUGUCGUGAGAUGUUGGGUUAAGUCCCGCAACGAGCGCAACCCUUGUUCACUGUUGCCAGCACGUUAUGGUGGGGACUCAGUGGAGACCGCCGGGGUCAACUCGGAGGAAGGUGGGGAUGACGUCAAGUCCUCAUGCCCCUUAUGUCCAGGGCUUCACGCAUGCUACAAUGGCUGGUACAGAGAGUGGCGAGCCUGUGAGGGUGAGCGAAUCUCGGAAAGCCGGUCUCAGUUCGGAUUGGGGUCUGCAACUCGACCUCAUGAAGUCGGAGUCGCUAGUAAUCGCAGAUCAGCAACGCUGCGGUGAAUACGUUCCCGGG
RNAcentral lists this ribosomal RNA (1343 nucleotides) under uncultured bacterium. RNAcentral's name for it is "16S ribosomal RNA". It matches the Rfam family "Bacterial small subunit ribosomal RNA", at positions 28 to 1378 of the family's 1533-position model. The record is from RNAcentral.